CGGUCCUAAGGUAGCGAAAUUCCUUGUCGGGUAAGUUCCGACCUGCACGAAUGGCAUAAUGAUGGCCACACUGUCUCCUCCUGAGACUCAGUGAAGUUGAAAUGUUUGUGAUGAUGCAAUCUCCCCGCGGCUAGACGGAAAGACCCCAUGAACCUUUACUGCAGCUUUGCAUUGGACUUUGAACCGAUCUGUGUAGGAUAGGUGGGAGGCAGUGAAGCUAGGACGCCAGUCUUAGCGGAGCCAACCUUGAAAUACCACCCUGAUUUGUUUGAGGUUCUAACCUAGGAGCGUAAUCCGCUUCGGGGACCGUGCAUGGUAGGCAGUUUGACUGGGGCGGUCGCCUCCUAAAGGGUAACGGAGGAGUGCGAAGGUACGCUAGGUACGGUCGGAAAUCGUGCUGAUAGUGCAAUGGCAAAAGCGUGCUUGACUGUGAGACCGACAAGUCGAGCAGAUACGAAAGUAGGUCAUAGUGAUCCGGUGGCUCUGCAUGGAAGGGCCAUCGCUCAACGGAUAAAAGGUACUCUGGGGAUAACAGGCUGAUACCGCCCAAGAGUUCAUAUCGACGGCGGUGUUUGGCACCUCGAUGUCGGCUCAUCUCAUCCUGGGGCUGUAGCCGGUCCCAAGGGUAUGGCUGUUCGCCAUUUAAAGAGGUACGUGAGCUGGGUUUAAAACGUCGUGAGACAGUUUUGUCCCUAUCUGCCGUGGGCGUUGGAAGAUUGACGGGGGCUGCUCCUAGUACGAGAGGACCGGAGUGGACUCACCUCUGGUGUACCGGUUGUCACGCCAGUGGCAUCGCCGGGUAGCUAUGUGGGGAAAGGAUAACCGCUGAAAGCAUCUAAGCGGGAAACCUGCCUGAAGAUAAGUCUUCCUGGAGGCUUUGACCUCCCUGAAGAGUCGUUCGAGACCAGGACGUUGAUAGGUUGGAUGUGCAAGCGCUGUGAGGCGUUGAGCUGACCAAUACUAAUUGCUCGUGAAGCUUGAUCCU
This 985-nucleotide ribosomal RNA is filed under the name human gut metagenome. Its description in RNAcentral is "bacterial LSU rRNA". It matches the Rfam family "Bacterial large subunit ribosomal RNA", at positions 1946 to 2925 of the family's 2925-position model. The record is from RNAcentral.